This 254-nucleotide ribosomal RNA is filed under the name uncultured bacterium. RNAcentral's name for it is "partial 16S ribosomal RNA". It matches the Rfam family "Bacterial small subunit ribosomal RNA", at positions 524 to 776 of the family's 1533-position model. The record is from RNAcentral.
UACGAAGGGUGCAAGCGUUACUCGGAAUCACUGGGCGUAAAGCGUGCGUAGGCGGUUGGUUAAGUCUGCUGUGAAAGCCCUGGGCUCAACCUGGGAACUGCAGUGGAUACUGGCUAGCUAGAGUGUGAUAGAGGAUGGUGGAAUUCCCGGUGUAGCGGUGAAAUGCGUAGAUAUCAAGAGGAACACCUGAGGUGAAGACGGGUUGCUGGGCCGACACUGACGCUGAGUGCGCGAAAGCUAGGGGAGCGAAUGGG